Molecule: transfer RNA, 77 nt
Filed under: Verrucomicrobiota bacterium
Lineage: Bacteria; Pseudomonadati; Verrucomicrobiota
Description: Verrucomicrobia bacterium (groundwater metagenome) tRNA-His
Rfam family: tRNA
About the family: Transfer RNA (tRNA) molecules are approximately 80 nucleotides in length. Their secondary structure includes four short double-helical elements and three loops (D, anti-codon, and T loops).
Source: RNAcentral
GCGAUCAUAGCUCAGUCGGUUAGAGCACCAGAUUGUGGAUCUGGGGGUCGCGGGUUCGAGUCCCGUUGGUCGCCCCA